Molecule: ribosomal RNA, 141 nt
Filed under: uncultured bacterium
Lineage: Bacteria
Description: partial 16S ribosomal RNA
Rfam family: Bacterial small subunit ribosomal RNA
Source: RNAcentral
UGGGGAAUAUUGCACAAUGGGCGCAAGCCUGAUGCAGCGACGCCGCGUGAGGGAUGACGGCCUUCGGGUUGUAAACCUCUUUCACCAGGGACGAAGCGCAAGUGACGGUACCUGGAGAAGAAGCACCGGCCAACUACGUGC